CUCUAGCCCUGAUGGAAGCGGCAUCCUUUUUCUGGCUUCUUUAGCCGGAAAAAGAUAUAGCGUACAGCAGGAAACAGC
Non-coding RNA from Flavobacterium sp. CF136, 78 nucleotides. Lineage: Bacteria; Pseudomonadati; Bacteroidota; Flavobacteriia; Flavobacteriales; Flavobacteriaceae. The record is from Rfam.